AGAUCACUCAGCUGCAUCUCGAGAAUCAGCAGAACAGCCAACUGGGGCAUUAUCAAAAAAAAAAAAGAAAAAAAAAGAAAAAAAAGAAAGAGGAGGGUGCAAAACCGAAUCAAAAGAAAUCCAAAUCAAAAGAAAUCAAAAGCAAAAUCAAAAGAAAGAAAAAUCAAAAAAACAAAAGAAAGAUAGCACCCUCAAAGUCCCAAGUUGACUGAUGCUGAAUUCGAUCGAAAAGAAGAGAUCAACUGCCAUGUGUCAUGGUCAGUCAUAUCAGCAGAGAGUGAAAAAGCAUU
This 290-nucleotide long non-coding RNA is filed under the name Lathyrus oleraceus (garden pea). Its description in RNAcentral is "Pisum sativum (pea) long non-coding RNA (PSAT_LNC005536)". Lineage: Eukaryota; Viridiplantae; Streptophyta; Magnoliopsida; Fabales; Fabaceae. The record is from RNAcentral.